RNAcentral lists this ribosomal RNA (492 nucleotides) under uncultured bacterium. RNAcentral describes it as "partial 16S ribosomal RNA". It matches the Rfam family "Bacterial small subunit ribosomal RNA", at positions 29 to 507 of the family's 1533-position model. The record is from RNAcentral.
AGUGAACGCUGGCGGUAGGCCUAACACAUGCAAGUCGAACGGCAGCACAGUAAGAGCUUGCUCUUACGGGUGGCGAGUGGCGGACGGGUGAGGAAUACAUCGGAAUCUACUUUUUCGUGGGGGAUAACGUAGGGAAACUUACGCUAAUACCGCAUACGACCUACGGGUGAAAGCAGGGGAUCUUCGGACCUUGCGCGAUUGAAUGAGCCGAUGUCGGAUUAGCUAGUUGGCGGGGUAAAGGCCCACCAAGGCGACGAUCCGUAGCUGGUCUGAGAGGAUGGUCAGCCACACUGGAACUGGGACACGGUCCAGGCUCCUAAGGGAAGGAACAGUGGGGAAUAUUGGACAAUGGGGGGAAACCUGGUCCAACCCUACCGCGUGGGUUGAAGAAGCCUUCCGGUUGUAAAGCCCUUUUGUUGGGGAAAAAAAGCCGCAGGUUAAUACCCCGCUGUUCUGACGGUACCCAAAGAAUAAGCACCGGCUAACUUCGUG